Molecule: ribosomal RNA, 260 nt
Filed under: uncultured bacterium
Lineage: Bacteria
Description: partial 16S ribosomal RNA
Rfam family: Bacterial small subunit ribosomal RNA
Source: RNAcentral
CGAGAAGCGAACCUGCGAAGGCAAGCGGAUCUCUUAAAGCCGUUCUCAGUUCGGACUGUAGGCUGCAACUCGCCUACACGAAGCUGGAAUCGCUAGUAAUCGCGGAUCAGCACGCCGCGGUGAAUACGUUCCCGGGCCUUGUACACACCGCCCGUCACACCAUGAGAGUCUGUAACACCCAAAGCCGGUGGGAUAACCUUUAUAGGAGUCAGCCGUCUAGGGUAGGACAGAUGAUUAGGGUGAAGUCGUAACAAGGUACC